Long non-coding RNA from Saccostrea echinata, 442 nucleotides. RefSeq lists it as uncharacterized. NCBI's taxonomy places the organism in Eukaryota, Metazoa, Mollusca, Bivalvia, Ostreida, Ostreidae. The record is from RefSeq and is a predicted model, not a curated record. The transcript has 3 exons.
AGCAUGUGUUAAAUUAGAGGAGCUUGUGAUGUCAAAAGAAAUGCAGAAAGACAUUCCGAAACUUUCUCCAGGAGCCCAACCUGGAUUUCAUUCUGUCAUUAAUCAUUUUGCACCAAAGAUGUUUGGGUUUUCCUACCAUGGAAUGUUAAGCAGGUUAAAAUUUGCUGCCCUCCAUUACAAUGAAAAUGGGAUGAGAGAUCAAGCAGUAACAAAAGAUGGACAACCACAGUACAACAUUGUGUACCCAAAGUUCAAGAAGGGCGGAUACACAGUAUGAGAAGUGAAAACUGGUUGUACAUAUAAUUAUGUCAGUAAGCUCAUGGACGUUGUAUAUAAAAAUGCCAAAGAAACAAAAUUAAGUCAGGUAAAAGUGUACAGAGUUGCAGCACCACCUCCUCUAUGCAGUUCAUUUGAAAAACCUGAUAAAGCAUCAGCAAUUUUA